RNAcentral lists this long non-coding RNA (299 nucleotides) under Ananas comosus (pineapple). RNAcentral's name for it is "long non-coding RNA (ACOM_LNC018103)". Lineage: Eukaryota; Viridiplantae; Streptophyta; Magnoliopsida; Poales; Bromeliaceae. The record is from RNAcentral.
CCAAAUAUCAAUAUCUAAACAAUAAUAAACAACAGCAUCCACAAAGACCAACAUCAUUUAAUAUAGGCUAAAUUACAAAAAAAAAACCUGUCAAAGCCCGAUUUUUCACUUUCCCCCUCUCUCAUUUAAAAACCUACACUUUGUCCCUUUAAAAAAUAAAAAAUAUUCACAGGAGGGUACGGUAUGAAUUGUGAUAAUAAAAUGAUCAUUUUGCCCCUCACCAUGUUCACAGGAGAGAAGGCUGAAGGCAUUUUUGGCACAAAAAAUAUAUAAUAAUAUUUUAUAAAUAGAACUCUAAC